UGUAUGCUAGACAGUUUAACUGGGGCGGUUACCUCCUAAAAAGUAACGGAGGUGUACUAAGGUAAACUCAGAUAAUUUUCAUUAUUUUAGAGCGUAAUGGCAUAUGUUUGCUUGACUGUAAGACUGAUAGGUCGAACAGAGAUGAAAAUCGGUCAUAGUGAUCCGGUGGUUCUUCGCGGAAAGACCAUCGCUCAACAGAUAAAAAGUACGUUGGGGAUAACAGGCUGAUGUCCUUUUAGAGUUCUUAUCGACAAGGACGUUUGGCACCUCGAUGUCGACUCAUCACAUCCUGAGGCUGAAGAAGGUCUCAAGGGUUCGUCUGUUCGCCGAAUAAUGUGGUACGUGAGUUGGGUUUAGAACGUUGUGA
Molecule: ribosomal RNA, 367 nt
Filed under: Extubocellulus spinifer
Lineage: Eukaryota; Bacillariophyta; Thalassiosirophyceae; Cymatosirales; Cymatosiraceae
Description: partial Bacterial large subunit ribosomal RNA
Rfam family: Bacterial large subunit ribosomal RNA
Source: RNAcentral